Molecule: transfer RNA, 78 nt
Filed under: Bacillus spizizenii
Lineage: Bacteria; Bacillati; Bacillota; Bacilli; Caryophanales; Bacillaceae
Description: tRNA-Pro
Rfam family: tRNA
About the family: Transfer RNA (tRNA) molecules are approximately 80 nucleotides in length. Their secondary structure includes four short double-helical elements and three loops (D, anti-codon, and T loops).
Source: RNAcentral
AUGGGUGUAGGCUAGCUUGGUUAAGUCGCUACAUUUGGGAUGUAGAGAUCGCAGGUUCGAAUCCUGCCACCCGUACCA